AACGCGAAGAACCUUACCCAGGCUUGACAUGCAGUAGACAGCGCCAGAGAUGGCGCCUUCCUUCGGGACUGCUGCACAGGUGCUGCAUGGCUGUCGUCAGCUCGUGCCGUGAGGUGUUGGGUUAAGUCCCGCAACGAGCGCAACCCUUAUCGUUAGUUGCCAACAUUUAAGGUGGGAACUCUAACGAGACUGCCCGGGUUAACCGGGAGGAAGGUGAGGAUGACGUCAAGUCCGCAUGGCCCUUAUGUCUGGGGCUACACACGUGCUACAAUGGUCGGUACAGAAGGCAGCGAAACCGUGAGGCGGAGCAAAUCCCCAAAGCCGACCCCAGUUCAGAUUGUAGUCUGCAACUCGACUACAUGAAGACGGAAUUGCUAGUAAUGGCGAGUCAGCAACAUCGCCGUGAAUACGUUCCCGGGCCUUGUACACACCGGCUAC
This 438-nucleotide ribosomal RNA is filed under the name uncultured bacterium. RNAcentral's name for it is "bacterial SSU rRNA". It matches the Rfam family "Bacterial small subunit ribosomal RNA", at positions 958 to 1397 of the family's 1533-position model. The record is from RNAcentral.